AGCACGGCGCCUGGCAUACGAUGGUCGCGACGGUCGUCCCGUGUCCACGGGGCGGGCUGGGGAGAGACCCCGAAGUCUGGGGCUCACGUCGCCGGGGGCGGCCCAUUUGCUGGGCGCAGUGAACGACCACAUGAGAGGUGGGAGAUGCGUGUCGGGGAGCAAAAGGAAAAGGAGAGAGAGGGCGAGGGAGGGCGGCAGAGACAACUGCCUCACGUUAGCCGGAUCAACUUCUCUUUAUCUCGGAGCAAGGGGGAAAUCAAGAGUUUCCCAGGAUGUCCUACGGGGCAGUGCCAACAACUCAGCAAAAAAGGGCUGUGAUGCGCUGGGGACAUUGAGCAAGGCUGGCCCCGCCCUCCUCUCGACUGGCACCUCCCCGUGCUGAAAACCCUGGGUGAGAAGAAAAGGGUCCCCUGUUGGGACAGCAGGACCAGGGCAUGAUGUGGCGCUGCAGCCUGCUCCUCUUCUGGGGGUGUUGUGGUCUAUGCAGCUGGAAAACGCACACAGUGUCCGCAGUGGAUCCAACGACAAGGGGACACCUGCCUGUACAGGUUACAC
This is a non-coding RNA of Microcebus murinus (gray mouse lemur), 555 nucleotides long. The record is from RefSeq and is a predicted model, not a curated record. Lineage: Eukaryota; Metazoa; Chordata; Mammalia; Primates; Cheirogaleidae.